This 89-nucleotide ribosomal RNA is filed under the name Dyadobacter sp. CY312. The record is from RNAcentral. Lineage: Bacteria; Pseudomonadati; Bacteroidota; Cytophagia; Cytophagales; Spirosomataceae.
UCACCUCUUCCCAUCCCGAACAGAGAAGUUAAGCCCGGAACCGCCGAUGAUACUUGGAUCAAACCUGGUAAAGUAGGUAGCCGCCACAA